This 249-nucleotide ribosomal RNA is filed under the name uncultured archaeon. RNAcentral's name for it is "partial 16S ribosomal RNA". It matches the Rfam family "Bacterial small subunit ribosomal RNA", at positions 528 to 776 of the family's 1533-position model. The record is from RNAcentral.
AAGGUCCCGAGCGUUAUUCGGAAUCACUGGGCGUAAAGAGUACGUAGGCGGUUUGGUAAGUCAGGUGUGAAAUCCCGGAGCUCAACUUCGGAACUGCACCCGAUACUGCCAGACUAGAGUAAUGGAGAGGCAGGUGGAAUUCUCGGUGUAGCAGUGAAAUGCGUGGAUAUCGAGAGGAAGACCAAUGGCGAAGGCAGCCUGCUGGACAUUUACUGACGCUGAGGUACGAAGGCUAGGGUAGCGAAAGGG